AGAAACAUAAAUCAUUUGGUUGUGAUUUGGCCGAAGAAAAUUGAGACUGGAAAUAUAUAGCAUUAGGUAGAAGGAUGGAUGUACAUAUAACUAUAGGAUAUGUGCUAAACAUAUAGUUCAAAUUGGAAAAAGCAAAUAAGUUGGUAACACAAAAAGAUUAGUAUAGAACAUGUGAUUUAUAAGUUGCUAUAAUUUAAGUGAUCUAAUUGUUAUAAUCUACUGUACCAGACUACAAACCAAAACCAACGACUAAACUUUGUAUGUCUAGAUUUAAUAAUAUUGUAUAAAUAUAUGAAUGUUUAACAAAUUAAACUGAAGUAAAAGGCUGCACAAAAACCAGUUAACCAAACUAUAAUUUUCGGUGUGUGGACAUGAAAAUGUUGAAUCCUAUCAACCUAUAAGCUAUGCAAUAAAUAGAAACUUGAUAAAUGAUUUGAUUGUGCGAGAACUCAG
This 453-nucleotide long non-coding RNA is filed under the name Daucus carota (carrot). RNAcentral describes it as "long non-coding RNA (DCAR_LNC006892)". The record is from RNAcentral. Lineage: Eukaryota; Viridiplantae; Streptophyta; Magnoliopsida; Apiales; Apiaceae.